Molecule: ribosomal RNA, 466 nt
Filed under: uncultured bacterium
Lineage: Bacteria
Description: bacterial SSU rRNA
Rfam family: Bacterial small subunit ribosomal RNA
Source: RNAcentral
AGUGAACGCUGGCGGCGUGCUUAACACAUGCAAGUCGAACGAGAACGGGUUAUAGCUUGCUAUAAUUGUCAGCUAAGUGGCGCACGGGUGAGUAAUGUAUAGGUAAUAUGCCUCUUACUAAGGGAUAACAAAUGGAAACGUUUGCUAAUACCUUAUACUCCUUAUUAACUAAAGUUGGUAAGGGAAGAUUAUUGGUAAGAGAUUGGCCUGUAUUGUAUCAGUUAGUUGGUGGGGUAAUGGCCUACCAAGACUAUGACGCAUAACUGGUUUGAGAGGAUGAUCAGUCACACUGGAACUGAGACACGGUCCAGACUCCUACGGGAGGCAGCAGUGGGGAAUAUUGGACAAUGGGCGAAAGCCUGAUCCAGCAAUGCCGCGUGAGUGAUGAAGGCCUUAGGGUUGUAAAGCUCUUUUACCCGAGAUGAUAAUGACAGUAUCGGGAGAAUGAGCUCCGGCUAACUCCGUG